AUUGGACGCUGGCGGAAUGCUUUACACAUGCAAGUCGAACGGUAGAGGGGGCAACCCCUCGAGAGUGGCGAACGGGUGAGUAAUAUAUCGGAACGUGCCCAGUCGUGGGGGAUAACGGAGCGAAAGUUACGCUAAUACCGCAUACGAUCUAAGGAUGAAAGCGGGGGAUCGCAAGACCUCGCGCGAUUGGAGCGGCCGAUAUCAGAAUAGGUAGUUGGUGGGGUAAAGGCUCACCAAGCCAAAGAUCUGUAGCUGGUCUGAGAGGACGACCAGCCACACUGGAACUGAGACACGGUCCAGACUCCUACGGGAGGCAGCAGUGGGGAAUUUUGGACAAUGGACGCAAGUCUGAUCCAGCCAUUCCGCGUGCAGGAUGAAGGCCCUCGGGUUGUAAACUGCUUUUGUACGGAACGAAAAGGUCUCUCUUAAUACGGGGGGCUCAUGACGGUACCGUAAGAAUAAGCACCGGCUAACUACGUGCCAGCAGCCGCCGUAA
RNAcentral lists this ribosomal RNA (496 nucleotides) under uncultured bacterium. RNAcentral describes it as "partial 16S ribosomal RNA". It matches the Rfam family "Bacterial small subunit ribosomal RNA", at positions 30 to 523 of the family's 1533-position model. The record is from RNAcentral.